This 178-nucleotide non-coding RNA is filed under the name Syntrophomonadaceae bacterium. RNAcentral's name for it is "6S RNA". It matches the Rfam family "6S / SsrS RNA". Rfam says of the family: E. coli 6S RNA was the first non coding RNA to be sequenced, but its function was unknown until recently. It consists of 184 nucleotides that fold into an extended hairpin structure with a large single-stranded internal bulge. Lineage: Bacteria; Bacillati; Bacillota; Clostridia; Eubacteriales; Syntrophomonadaceae. The record is from RNAcentral.
AAUAUCCUGGAAUACUCGUCCAGCCUUUAUUUUGAACCUACGAAAUUGUAAAGGGAGUUUUUGAGCUGAAUUUGGAUAUCAAGCCCUCCUAAAGAAGGGAAGAUAGAAGGAUUCACGGAGGACACCCACCUAUCGAAAGAUAGGCGUCAAAAUAGGGCAACGGUAUUUUGGGUAUUGA